RNAcentral lists this ribosomal RNA (454 nucleotides) under uncultured Rikenellaceae bacterium. RNAcentral's name for it is "partial 16S ribosomal RNA". It matches the Rfam family "Bacterial small subunit ribosomal RNA", at positions 341 to 792 of the family's 1533-position model. The record is from RNAcentral. Lineage: Bacteria; Pseudomonadati; Bacteroidota; Bacteroidia; Bacteroidales; Rikenellaceae.
ACGGAAGGCAGCAGUGAGGAAUAUUGGUCAAUGGACGGAAGUCUGAACCAGCCGUGCCGCGUGAAGGAAUAAGGCCCUAUGGGUCGUAAACUUCUUUUGUGGUGGAGCAAUAAGGUGCACGUGUGCAUCGAUGAGAGUACAUCACGAAUAAGCAUCGGCUAACUCCGUGCCAGCAGCCGCGGUAAUACGGAGGAUGCGAGCGUUAUCCGGAUUUAUUGGGUUUAAAGGGUGCGUAGGCUGUUCUUCAAGUCAGAGGUGAAAUACCGGGGCUCAACCCUGGAACUGCCUUUGAUACUGGAGGGCUUGAAUACUGUUGCCGUGGGAGGAGUGAGUAGUGUAGCGGUGAAAUGCAUAGAUAUUACUCAGAACACCGAUUGCGAAGGCAUCUCACGAAACAGCGAUUGACGCUGAGGCACGAAAGCGUGGGGAUCAAACAGGAUUAGAUACCCUGGUA